This 1144-nucleotide ribosomal RNA is filed under the name Paranarthrurella polonez. RNAcentral describes it as "SSU rRNA". It matches the Rfam family "Eukaryotic small subunit ribosomal RNA", at positions 605 to 1719 of the family's 1831-position model. Lineage: Eukaryota; Metazoa; Arthropoda; Malacostraca; Tanaidacea; Paranarthrurellidae. The record is from RNAcentral.
CUUUAUACUGAGGCAGCCAGCCCUCGUUCGUUUGAGGUUAUUACUGCGCUGUGACUUAGUGUAUAUGAGACCGUCGAUACUUUUUAAUCUAUAAUUGUUGGUGCCCUUAAUUGGUUUAGAUAUAUUCGUUAUAAAAGUUUCGACUCUAUCACUUUGAAAAAAUUAGAGUGCUCAAAGCACUCAUUGCAUAAUUGCCUGAAUGGUAGUGCAUGGAAUGAUGAAAGAUGAUCUCUACCUCGUUAAGUUUAUGAUUAGAUUGGUUCUUUAAUUUGCACCAGGUAAAGAUUCGAGGUUUGAGAUAAUGAUUAAAGGGAACUGCCGGGGGCGUUUGUAUUACGGCGCUAGAGGUGAAAUUCUUGGACCGUCGUAAGACAAACUACUGCGAAAGCAUUCGCCAAGAAUGUUUUCAUUAAUCAAGAASGAAAGUUAGAGUUUAGAAGGAGAUCAGAUACCUCCCUAUUUCUAACCGUAAACUAUGCUAACCUGUUGUCCGUCGGAAGUCAUUUCCGAUGGACGAGCGACCCCARGGAAACCAGAGUUUUUCUGUUCCGGGGGAAGUAUGGUUGCAAAGCUGAAACUUAAAGGAAUUGACGGAAGGGCACCACCAGGAGUGGAGCCUGCGGCUUAAUUUGACUCAACACGGGAAACCUCACCAGGCCCAGAAACAUUUAGGAUUGACAGAUUGAAAGCUCUUUCAUGAUUAUGAGGAUGGUGGUGCAUGGCCGUUCUUAGUUGGUGGAGCGAUCUGUCUGGUUAAUUCCGAUAACGAACGAGAUUCUCAUUUGCUAAAUAGAAGGUAGAUCUUAUCCCGAAAAGUUCUUCGGGGUCUUAUGUCGGGGAGUCUAUCUUUCUUCUUAGAAAAAUCAAUGGUGCUCUAAUCAGUUGACAGGAAGAGCAAUAACAGGUCUGUGAUGCCCUUAGAUGUUCUGGGCCGCACGCGCGCUACAAUGCGCGGUGCAACACGUCCCCCUUCUCCUUAAUGGAGUGGGUAACCGGUUCAAAUCCGGGCUUACUUGGGAUUGGGGCUUGCAAAUAUUUCCCAUAAACGAGGAAUUCCCAGUAAGCGUUGGCUCAUUCAAGUCGCGCUGAUUACGUCCCUGCCCUUUGUACACACCGCCCGUCGCUACUACCGAUUGAAUGUUUC